AUGAAAUUACUCCAUCUACAGAAAAAACAUGUUAAGCAAAUAAAAAAGUUUCAGGUCUCUUCUGAUUUGUUUAGUGUAUAUUUCUCUAGGGUUGUUGUUGCCAUUUUAGUAUUUUGUUGUCUCCUUCAUUUAUUCUUCCCUGGAUAG
Molecule: long non-coding RNA, 147 nt
Filed under: Mustela putorius furo (domestic ferret)
Lineage: Eukaryota; Metazoa; Chordata; Mammalia; Carnivora; Mustelidae
Description: lncRNA (ENSMPUG00000024106.1)
Source: RNAcentral